Molecule: transfer RNA, 73 nt
Rfam family: tRNA
About the family: Transfer RNA (tRNA) molecules are approximately 80 nucleotides in length. Their secondary structure includes four short double-helical elements and three loops (D, anti-codon, and T loops).
Source: Rfam
GGGAGUGUAGCUCAACGGAUAGAGCGCCACGCUUCGGACGUGGAUGUUGUGGGUUCAAUUCCUACCACUCUCG